AUAGUUGUCAUAAAUAACCUUAAUCUUUUCAAUCUAUGUCCCCCUUGUCGUUUAUUCAAUGCUGUCACAAUAGAUUUAGCGUUGCUUACUUUUCAUUGAAAACAUUUGCCAAAUUGCAAAAAGUAAAAGGUUGUUUAAAAUUCGUUGAAAUUAAAAAUAAAGUUGCAAAGAAAACUGAGCAGGAAAAACAAGGCUUGCAUUCAAUUUUAUUGCACACGUUUAAUGGAAUGAUUUCAAUCGAGAUUGAGAUUGAAAACUUCUUCUGGUAUUACGCAUCUUAAAAGUCUUUGAAGAGUCACCAAGUCAACUUGCAACUUGAAUGAUUCAUGCUGUGCAUAAGAAAGUUUAACUGAGAACUCAAUGACAAAAACAAAACCGAAUAAAAAUACAAACGAAAAGAAGCGGAGAGAAGCGAUGAAGAUAGAGAUAGAGAUGAAGAUGGAGAAAAACAAGACGAGUUUACAAAGUGCCAGCAAGAAGUGGAAGCAGUCUGAUAAGUUAAACGAGUAUUUGCGCUUAGUAUCGCAGAGAGUCUCGGUAUCUGAAACUGUUGCUCUUGCUGUAUUUACGUGUUGUAUUUGUUGCGCUUCCGUUGUGGUCACUUGGUCAAGAUGCGAGACACAGACGUAGGCGAAGGCGAAUGCGAAGUUGAAGUCGUAGUCGAAGGCAGAUGCCAGAUAAGCGGAGCGUGAGAGCCAAAGAGACAGCAGCUCCAGAGGGAAAGGGACAGAUAGAGCAACAGAGAGAUGACUGCCGGACGCUGUCUACUUUGUAUCUGUAUCUGUAUUUGUAUAUGUAUCUGUAUCUGUAUCUGUAUCUGUUGCUCAGCAUGUUUUUCAUAUGGUAUGCUUUUGAGAUUAUUGGCGCUGCCCAUGCAACAUACAAACAUACAUAUGUACACACAUAUAAGUACACACUUAUAGUCGCCGAUAUUCAAGACGUUGACCUUUCGCUUGAUUCGACUCAAAAUAAAACAAACAGAGCACACAUUUCGUCCACAA
Drosophila nasuta is the source of this 1001-nucleotide long non-coding RNA. RefSeq lists it as uncharacterized. NCBI's taxonomy places the organism in Eukaryota, Metazoa, Arthropoda, Insecta, Diptera, Drosophilidae. The record is from RefSeq and is a predicted model, not a curated record. The transcript is spliced from 2 exons.